UGGGGGAUAUUGCACAAUGGGCGAAAGCCUGAUGCAGCGACGCCGCGUGGGGGAUGAAGGCCUUCGGGUUGUAAACUUCUUUUGCUCUGAACAAGGCGCACCAUGGGGUGUGUUGAGUGUAGGGGUUGAUUAGCGCCGGCUAACUACGUGCCAGCAGCCGCGGUAAUACGUAGGGCGCGAGCGUUGUCCGGAAUUAUUGGGCGUAAAGGGCUUGUAGGUGGCUGGUUGCGUCUGUCGUGAAAGAUCAUGGCUUAACUGUGGGUUUGCGGUGGGUACGGGCUGGCUUGAGUGCAGUAGGGGAGGCUGGAAUUCCUGGUGUAGCGGUGGAAUGCGCAGAUAUCAGGAGGAAUACCGGUGGCGAAGGCGGGUCUCUGGGCUGUUACUGACACUGAGGAGCGAGAGCAUGGGGAGCGAACAGG
Molecule: ribosomal RNA, 419 nt
Filed under: bacterium
Lineage: Bacteria
Description: partial 16S ribosomal RNA
Rfam family: Bacterial small subunit ribosomal RNA
Source: RNAcentral